AUUGAACGCUGGCGGCAGGCCUAACACAUGCAAGUCGAACGGUAACAGGAAGAAGCUUGCUUCUUUGCUGACGAGUGGCGGACGGGUGAGUAAUGUCUGGGAAACUGCCUGAUGGAGGGGGAUAACUACUGGAAACGGUAGCUAAUACCGCAUAACGUCGCAAGACCAAAGAGGGGGAACUUCGGGCCUCUUGCCAUCGGAUGUGCCCAGAUGGGAUUAGCUAGUAGGUGGGGUAACGGCUCACCUAGGCGACGAUCCCUAGCUGGUCUGAGAGGAUGACCAGCGACACUGGAACUGGAACACGGUCCAGACUCCUACGGGAGGCAGCAGUGGGGAAUAUUGCACAAUGGGCGCAAGCCUGAUGCAGCCAUGCCGCGUGUAUGAAGAAGGCCUUCGGGUUGUAAAGUACUUUCAGCGGGGAGGAAGGGAGUAAAGUUAAUACCUUUGCUCAUUGACGUUACCCGCAGAAGAAGCACCGGCUAACUCCGUG
This 490-nucleotide ribosomal RNA is filed under the name uncultured bacterium. Its description in RNAcentral is "partial 16S ribosomal RNA". It matches the Rfam family "Bacterial small subunit ribosomal RNA", at positions 30 to 507 of the family's 1533-position model. The record is from RNAcentral.